Molecule: long non-coding RNA, 237 nt
Filed under: Manihot esculenta (cassava)
Lineage: Eukaryota; Viridiplantae; Streptophyta; Magnoliopsida; Malpighiales; Euphorbiaceae
Description: long non-coding RNA (MESC_LNC000009)
Source: RNAcentral
UUGGAAGCUUGGAGACCAAAGAGUUGAGAUCUCUCCCAUCUCCAAGUUGGAUCGUCUCUCCUCUCGUUCUUCAAGAGGUAAGAGUAGAUCCAUAGUUCCUUUAAUGUUUUAAGUAAGUUUUAUGAAGUUUCUUGGGAUAGAAAUGCAUGUGUAGGUUUAUGUGGAGUUUAUGGGUUUACUGUGCGUUUAUGAACAAUGUAUGUUGGAUAUGCAUGUUUGAUGUGUUGUAGAUGGGGU